UACGAAGGGGGCUAGCGUUGCUCGGAAUCACUGGGCAUAAAGGGUGCGUAGGCGGGUCUUUAAGUCAGGGGUGAAAUCCUGGAGCUCAACUCCAGAACUGCCUUUGAUACUGAGGAUCUUGAGUUCGGGAGAGGUGAGUGGAACUGCGAGUGUAGAGGUGAAAUUCGUAGAUAUUCGCAAGAACACCAGUGGCGAAGGCGGCUCACUGGCCCGUUACUGACGCUGAGGCACGAAAGCGUGGGGAGCAAACAGG
RNAcentral lists this ribosomal RNA (253 nucleotides) under uncultured bacterium. RNAcentral's name for it is "partial 16S ribosomal RNA". It matches the Rfam family "Bacterial small subunit ribosomal RNA", at positions 524 to 776 of the family's 1533-position model. The record is from RNAcentral.